GGCGGGAAAAAGCUGAACGAUGUAAUUCCAUCCCCAGGCUGAAACACAUUAGCGCGUUUGGCAAGUGCUCUAUCAGAGGGCCAUUAGACUGAGGCUCGUGCAUGAGGGGAUAGCAUGCUUUUACUUUCACUCUCUUUGUAAUAAAAAAUGAUUUCCCGGUCGGAAUAUUAUCGCUUUUUUACGAGAAAAAUUGCAUAAAAAUUGAUUUUAAACAGCGGUUGACAUGCUUCGAAGUACGGUAAUGGAAUAUUUAGAAUGUUUUUUGUCACGAAACGUGUCGGGCGCGUCACCCUUCUUUACCCUUUCGGAUAGUUUCUUGAACACACAAACAAAACAGAGGAUAUUUGAACAUAACUAUGGAUUAUUUUGAACCAAACCAACAUUUGUUAUUGAAGUAGAAGUCCUGGGAGUGCAUUCUGACGAAGAACAGCAAAGGACCAUGCCUCAGGACUACCUAACAUGAUGACUCCUUGCUGUCCCCAGUCCACCUGGCCAUGCUGCUGCUCCAGUUUCAACUGUUCUGCCUGCGGCUAUGGAACCCUGACCUGUUCACCGGACGUGCUACCUGUCCCAGACCUGCUGUUUUCAACUCUCUAGAGACAGCAGGAGCGGUAGAGAUAUUCUCAAUGAUCGGCUAUGAAAAGCCAACUGACAUUUACUCUUGAGGUGCUGACUUGUUGCACCCUCGGCAACAACUGUGAUUAUUAUUUGACCAUGCUGGUCAUUUAUGAACAUUUGAACAUCUUGGCCAUGUUCUUUUAUAAUCUCCACCCAGCACAGCCAGAAGAGGACUGGCCACCCCUCAUAGCCUGGUUCCUCUCUAGGUUUCGGCCUUUCUAGGGAGUUUUUCCUAGCCACCGUGCUUCUACAUCUGCAUUGCUUGCUGUUUGGGGUUUUAGGCUGGGUUUCUGUACAGCACUUUGAGAUAUCAGCUGAUGUAAGAAGGGCUAUAUAAAUACAUAUCAUUUGAUGUUGUAGCCUAAUUUGGAAAACAAUUGUUUCCCUAAAAAAACGUGAUCAAUAGGGAAGAGUUUUCAAACUGUGUGCACUGGGACUGAGAGCAUAGCCUCGGGAGCACACACAGUGUAGGCUGGCUUUUGUCCUGAAUACAAAUUGUUAUGUUUCGGGAAAAUCCAAUACAGCACAUUACUGAGUACCACUCUCCAUAUUUUCAAGCAUAGCGGUGGAUGCACAUGUUAUGGGUAUGCUUAUAAUUGUUAAGGACUGGGGAGUUUUUCAGGAUACAAAAUACACGGAAUGGAGCUAAGCACAGGCAAAAUCCUAGAGGAAAACCUGGUUCAGUCUGCAUUCCUUUCAGCAGGACAAUAACCUAAAACACAAGGCCAAAUCUACACUGGAGUUGCUUACCAAGAAGACAGUGAAUGUUCCUGAAUUGCCGAGUUACAGUUUUGACUUAAAUCUUCUUGAAAAUCUAUGGCAAGACCUGAAAAUGGUUGUCUAGCUAUGAUCAACAACCAAUUUGACAGAGCUUGAAGAAUUAUUUAAAGAAUAAUAGGCAAAUGUUGCACAAUCCAGGUGUGGAAAGCUCUUAGAGACUUACCCAGAAGACAUAGCUGUAAUCGCUGCCAAAGGUGCUUCUACAAAGUAUUGACUCAGGAGUGUGAAUACUUAUGUCAACUCAAUAUUUCAUUUUCAAUAAAUGUGCAAAAGUUUUCAUUUUGUCAUUAUGGGUUAUUGUGUGUAGAUUGGUGAGAACAAACUAUACAGUAGCAGUCAAAAGUUUGGACACACAUUGUCACGUUCGUCGUAAAGAUGGGACCAAGGCGCAGCGGGAAUGUGAAUACUCAUCUUCUUUAUUACGAAGAAAAACAAACACUUAAUCAAAAACAACAAUGAAAAACCAGUCCUGUGAGGCACACAGCUACACACAGAACAACUACCCACAAAUCCCAUGGACAAAACACCCCUAUUAAAUAGGAUCUUCAAUUAGAGGCAACGAGAAACAGCUGGUCAAACCAAUAAACUAAGCAUAGAAAUAGACUAACUAGACACAGACAUAGAAAAAGACUAACAUAGAAUAUUGCCCAACAAACCCCGAAACACACUAAACAAACACCCGCUGCCAAGCCCUGACCAAACUACAAUAACAAAGAACCCCUUUUACUGGUCAGGACGUGACACACCUACUCAUUCAAGAUGUAUUUUUUGUACAAUACUACAUUCUCGAAUAAUAGUGAAGACAUCACAACUAUGAAAUAACACAUAUGGAAUCAUGUACUAACCAAAAAAGUGUUAUCAAAAUAAAACAAAUCAAAAUAUAUGUUAUAUUUGAGAUUUUUCAAAGAAACCACCCUUUGUCUUGAUGACAGCUUUGUGGAAUUUAUUUCCUUCUAAAAAUGCAUUUGAGCCAAUCAGUGUGUUGUGACAAGGUAGGGGUGGUAUACAGAAGAUAGACCUAUUUGGUAAAAGACCGAGUCCAUAUUAUGGCAAAAACAGCUCAAAUAAGCAAAGAUAAAUGACAGUCCAUCAUUACUUUAAGACAUGAAGGUCAGUCAAUCUGGAAUAUUUCAAUAACUUUUAAAGUUUCUUCAAGUGCAGCUGCAAAAAACAUCAAGUGCUAUGAUGAAACAGGCUCUCAUGAGGACCGACAGAUGAAAGGAAGACCCA
RNAcentral lists this long non-coding RNA (2628 nucleotides) under Salmo salar (Atlantic salmon). Its description in RNAcentral is "lncRNA (ENSSSAG00000118948.1)". The record is from RNAcentral. Lineage: Eukaryota; Metazoa; Chordata; Actinopteri; Salmoniformes; Salmonidae.